AAUCAUACUGUGAAACUGCGAAUGGCUCAUUAAAUCAGUUAUCGUUUAUUUGAUAGUACCUUUACCUGGAUAACCGUGGUAAUUCUAGAGCUAAUACAUGCUAAAAACCCCGACUUCGGAAGGGGUGUAUUUAUUAGAUAAAAAACCAAUGCCCUCUGGGCUCCUUGGUGAUUCAUAAUAACUAAACGAAUCGCAUGGCCUUGCGCCGGCGAUGGUUCAUUCAAAUUUCUGCCCUAUCAACUUUCGAUUGUAAGAUAGAGGCUUACAAUGGUCUUAACGGGUAACGGGGAAUUAGGGUUCUAUUCCGGAGAGGGAGCCUGAGAAACGGCUACCACAUCCAAGGAAGGCAGCAGGCGCGCAAAUUACCCAAUGCUAAUUCAGCGAGGUAGUGACAAUAAAUACUGAUACGGGGCUCUUUCGGGUCUCGUAAUUGGAAUGAGUACAAUCUAAAUCCCUUAACGAGGAACAAUUGGAGGGCAAGUCUGGUGCCAGCAGCCGCGGUAAUUCCAGCUCCAAUAGCGUAUAUUAAAGUUGUUGCCGUUAAAAAGCUCGUAGUUGAACCUUGGACCUGGCUGAUCUGUCCUCCUAAUCGAGCGCACGGAUUCGGUCGGGUCUUUCCUUCUGGGGAGCCCUAUGCCCUUCACUGGGUGUAGUGGGGAACCAGGACUUUUACCUUGAAAAAAUUAGAGUGUUCAAAGCAGGCCUUUGCUCGAAUACAUUAGCAUGGAAUAAUAGAAUAGGACAUCGGUUCUAUUUUGUUGGUUUCUAGGACCGCUGUAAUGAUUAAUAGGGAUAGUCGGGGGCGUCAGUAUUCAAUUGUCAGAGGUGAAAUUCUUGGAUUUAUUGAAGACUAACUACUGCGAAAGCAUUCGCCAAGGAUGUUUUCAUUAAUCAGUGAACGAAAGUUAGGGGAUCGAAGACGAUCAGAUACCGUCGUAGUCUUAACCAUAAACUAUGCCGACUAGGGAUCGGACGGUGGUUUUUUUAUGCCCCGUUCGGCACC
RNAcentral lists this ribosomal RNA (1003 nucleotides) under Cladophialophora aquatica. RNAcentral describes it as "SSU rRNA". It matches the Rfam family "Eukaryotic small subunit ribosomal RNA", at positions 72 to 1087 of the family's 1831-position model. The record is from RNAcentral. Lineage: Eukaryota; Fungi; Ascomycota; Eurotiomycetes; Chaetothyriales; Herpotrichiellaceae.